UUGGGUUUUUAUAAACAGAUUUUAAUUUUUUUUUUUUAAUAUAUGUAUUUUUUACAUGUUACAAUUUAUAGGCAAAAAAAAAAGAGAGGGAAAAUAGGAACCUUACAUGCAUACGAACACACCAGCGCACGCAAAACAAUACUACAGUAAUACAGCUCAAUAAAAAUUUAAAUCAACCAAAUCAUAGCAAUUCCUCAUUUUUAUGUACAGUUUAUAUUUCUAUUAUAUAGCUGCAUUAACCAAAUAAGUUGCAAUAAGCAAUACAAAUAUGAUUAGAAUCUAUUAAAUCUGAUGACAAUUAAAAUCACUCAAAACUGAGAGAGAGAAAAAAAAUCCCUUUCGCCAAUAAAAUGUAAAACUUUUUUUUUUUCCUGGAAUAUAAACUCCUUUCUUUUUUUUCUUUUUUUUUAAAGCAAUAAAAAUACUUAGAAAAUAAAACUUCAAGUAAAGAGAAACAUUUCUAAUUUAAGCCAAAAAUCAAAGUUUGUUAAAUCUGUUAAAACAGAAGAUUAAAGGAUCCUACGUUCUCAUAUCCAAAACUUUACAUUUUAUUCCAAUCAUGCACUAGCUUGGCAUUUGAGCAUGAUACUGUUGUUUUUUCCCCCGAUAACACUCAUUUCAUACUCAAUCCCAAACACUAUGCAUCAAUAAACUACAUAUAGUGAAAUUUUUUGUUGUCAUCUCAAGUGUAAAAGAGUAUUACAAUAUAAUAAUCUGUGUAAUCUGCUCAAGUUUGUUUCCUUUUCCUCAAAUAAACAAUUACGUUUCCUCCUCAUAUAUCAGUGAUCAUGUCAUUAUGAUCAUAGGCAAACACACAAAAGUUAUGACACCACUGAAAUAAAAAUAAUGUUGGGGAUAUAUUUCCUGAUAUAAUUAGGGUAAAAACUUUGAAAUGUAAGGCACCCCAGACGAUAAAACAAAGAAAUUUACAUUCAACACGGGAACACACAGUCCACAAACUACACUCUAUGCAGCGUUCGUAAACUUGACAGCAGAAUGGUUUUUGACUCCAAUGAUUUUCAGUCCACCAAUUGCGCCUAUUUAAAAUUGAAUAACUAUUAAAAAUGUCGAGCUCUCAAGAUUUAUUUAGUUUGGUGGAUGUGCAUCUUUGGUUUUGCUAGCCAUUUCAGAUUGUGGAUUCUUCUUCACCUUCUCCUUCAUGGCUGAAGUCGCUUCUUUGCCUGUGGUGCUCUUGGCAUUCACUUUCUGAUUGGUUGAAGCUGAUUUGGCCAGCCCUGCAAUGGCCCGUUGAUUGGUUGAGGUCAAUUUGCUGUUUGCUGGCCCAUGACUGAGUUUAGUGUUUGCUGGAGAAGCUGACCGAUUGGUUGAAUCCUUUUUCACUUCCC
Long non-coding RNA from Ictalurus punctatus (channel catfish), 1346 nucleotides. Lineage: Eukaryota; Metazoa; Chordata; Actinopteri; Siluriformes; Ictaluridae. The record is from Ensembl.